AUUGAACGCUGGCGGCAGGCCUAACACAUGCAAGUCGAACGGUAACAGGAAACAGCUUGCUGUUUCGCUGACGAGUGGCGGACGGGUGAGUAAUGUCUGGGAAACUGCCUGAUGUAGGGGGAUAACUACUGGAAACGGUAGCUAAUACCGCAUAACUUCGCAAGACCAAAGAGGGGGACCUGCUGGCCUCUUGCCAUCGUAUGUGCCCAGAUGGGAUUAGCUAGGAGGUGGGGUAACGGCUCACCUAGGCGACGAUCCCUAGAUGGUCUGAGAGGAUGACCAGCCACACUGGAACUGAGACACGGUCCAGACUCCUACGGGAGGCAGCAGUGGGGAAUAUUGCACAAUGGGCGCAAGCCUGAUGCAGCCAUGCCGCGUGUAUGAAGAAGGCCUUCGGGUUGUAAAGUACUUUCAGCGGGGAGGAAGGGAGUAAAGUUAAUACCUUUGCUCAUUGACGUUACCCGCAGAAGAAGCACCGGCUAACUCCGUG
Molecule: ribosomal RNA, 490 nt
Filed under: uncultured bacterium
Lineage: Bacteria
Description: partial 16S ribosomal RNA
Rfam family: Bacterial small subunit ribosomal RNA
Source: RNAcentral